This 429-nucleotide ribosomal RNA is filed under the name Pseudomonadota bacterium. RNAcentral describes it as "Proteobacteria bacterium partial 16S ribosomal RNA". It matches the Rfam family "Bacterial small subunit ribosomal RNA", at positions 355 to 776 of the family's 1533-position model. Lineage: Bacteria; Pseudomonadati; Pseudomonadota. The record is from RNAcentral.
UGGGGAAUAUUGGACAAUGGGCGAAAGCCUGAUCCAGCCAUGCCGCGUGUGUGAAGAAGGUCUUCGGAUUGUAAAGCACUUUAAGUUGGGAGGAAGGGCAGUAAGCGAAUACCUUGCUGUUUUGACGUUACCGACAGAAUAAGCACCGGCUAACUCUGUGCCAGCAGCCGCGGUAAUACAGAGGGUGCAAGCGUUAAUCGGAAUUACUGGGCGUAAAGCGCGCGUAGGUGGUUCGUUAAGUUGAAUGUGAAAGCCCCGGGCUCAACCUGGGAACUGCAUCAAGAACUGGCGAGAUAGAGUAGGGCAGAGGGUGGUGGAAUUUCCUGUGUAGAGGUGAAAUGCGUAGAUAUAGGAAGGAACACCAGUGGCGAAGGCGACCACCUGGGCUCAUACUGACACUGAGGUGAGAAAGCGUGGGGAGCAAACAGG